ACGGGAGGCAGCAGUGAGGAAUAUUGGUCAAUGGGCGGAAGCCUGAACCAGCCAAGUCGCGUGGAGGAUGAAGGUAUUAUGUAUUGUAAACUUCUUUAGACGCAGAGAAAUAAGGGGCUCGUGAGUCCUGAUGCUAGUAUGCGUAGAAUAAGGAUCGGCUAACUCCGUGCCAGCAGCCGCGGUAAUACGGAAGGUCCGGGCGUUAUCCGGAUUUAUUGGGUUUAAAGGGAGCGCAGGCGGCCUUUUAAGCGUGUUGUGAAAUGUAGGGGCUCAACCUCUGCACUGCAGCGCGAACUGGAGGGCUUGAGUACGCGGGAAGUAGGCGGAAUUCGUCGUGUAGCGGUGAAAUGCUUAGAUAUGACGAAGAACUCCGAUUGCGAAGGUAGCCUACUGUAGCGUUACUGACGCUAAAGCUCGAAAGUGUGGGUAUCGAACAGGAUUAGAUACCCUGGUA
RNAcentral lists this ribosomal RNA (454 nucleotides) under uncultured Prevotella sp. RNAcentral describes it as "partial 16S ribosomal RNA". It matches the Rfam family "Bacterial small subunit ribosomal RNA", at positions 341 to 792 of the family's 1533-position model. Lineage: Bacteria; Pseudomonadati; Bacteroidota; Bacteroidia; Bacteroidales; Prevotellaceae. The record is from RNAcentral.